CGAUGAAGGUCUUCGGAUUGUAAAGUUCUGUUGGUCAGGGACGAACAAGUACCGUUCGAACAGGGCGGUACCUUGACGGUACCUGACGAGAAAGCCACGGCUAACUACGUGCCAGCAGCCGCGGUAAUACGUAGGUGGCAAGCGUUGUCCGGAAUUAUUGGGCGUAAAGCGCGCGCAGGCGGCUAUGUAAGUCUGGUGUUAAAGCCCGGGGCUCAACCCCGGUUCGCAUCGGAAACUGCGUAGCUUGAGUGCAGAAGAGGAAAGCGGUAUUCCACGUGUAGCGGUGAAAUGCGUAGAGAUGUGGAGGAACACCAGUGGCGAAGGCGGCUUUCUGGUCUGUAACUGACGCUGAGGCGCGAAAGCGUGGGGAGCAAACAGGAUUAGAUACCCUGGUAGUCCACGCCGUAAACGAUGAGUGCUAGGUGUUGGGGGUUUCAAUACCCUCAGUGCCGCAGCUAACGCAAUAAGCACUCCGCCUGGGGAGUACGCUCGCAAGAGUG
RNAcentral lists this ribosomal RNA (500 nucleotides) under uncultured Bacillota bacterium. Its description in RNAcentral is "bacterial SSU rRNA". It matches the Rfam family "Bacterial small subunit ribosomal RNA", at positions 406 to 896 of the family's 1533-position model. Lineage: Bacteria; Bacillati; Bacillota. The record is from RNAcentral.